GUGACUGCGUACCUUUUGUAUAAUGGGUCAGCGACUUAUAUUCUGUAGCAAGGUUAACCGAAUAGGGGAGCCGAAGGGAAACCGAGUCUUAACUGGGCGUUAAGUUGCAGGGUAUAGACCCGAAACCCGGUGAUCUAGCCAUGGGCAGGUUGAAGGUUGGGUAACACUAACUGGAGGACCGAACCGACUAAUGUUGAAAAAUUAGCGGAUGACUUGUGGCUGGGGGUGAAAGGCCAAUCAAACCGGGAGAUAGCUGGUUCUCCCCGAAAGCUAUUUAGGUAGCGCCUCGUGAAUUCAUCUCCGGGGGUAGAGCACUGUUUCGGCAAGGGGGUCAUCCCGACUUACCAACCCGAUGCAAACUGCGAAUACCGGAGAAUGUUAUCACGGGAGACACACGGCGGGUGCUAACGUCCGUCGUGAAGAGGGAAACAACCCAGACCGCCAGCUAAGGUCCCAAAGUCAUGGUUAAGUGGGAAACGAUGUGGGAAGGCCCAGACAGCCAGGAUGUUGGCUUAGAAGCAGCCAUCAUUUAAAGAAAGCGUAAUAGCUCACUGGUCGAGUCGGCCUGCGCGGAAGAUGUAACGGGGCUAAACCAUGCACCGAAGCUGCGGCAGCGACGCUUAUGCGUUGUUGGGUAGGGGAGCGUUCUGUAAGCCUGUGAAGGUGUGCUGUGAGGCAUGCUGGAGGUAUCAGAAGUGCGAAUGCUGACAUAAGUAACGAUAAAGCGGGUGAAAAGCCCGCUCGCCGGAAGACCAAGGGUUCCUGUCCAACGUUAAUCGGGGCAGGGUGAGUCGACCCCUAAGGCGAGGCCGAAAGGCGUAGUCGAUGGGAAACAGGUUAAUAUUCCUGUACUUGGUGUUACUGCGAAGGGGGGACGGAGAAGGCUAUGUUGGCCGGGCGACGGUUGUCCCGGUUUAAGCGKGUAGGCUGGUUUUCCAGGCAAAUCCGGAAAAUCAAGGCUGAGGCGUGAUGACGAGGCACUACGGUGCUGAAGCAACAAAUGCCCUGCUUCCAGGAAAAGCCUCUAAGCAUCAGGUAACAUCAAAUCGUACCCCAAACCGACACAGGUGGUCAGGUAGAGAAUACCAAGGCGCUUGAGAGAACUCGGGUGAAGGAACUAGGCAAAAUGGUGCCGUAACUUCGGGAGAAGGCACGCUGAUAUGUAGGUGAAG
Molecule: ribosomal RNA, 1172 nt
Filed under: Escherichia coli
Lineage: Bacteria; Pseudomonadati; Pseudomonadota; Gammaproteobacteria; Enterobacterales; Enterobacteriaceae
Description: bacterial LSU rRNA
Rfam family: Bacterial large subunit ribosomal RNA
Source: RNAcentral